This is a small nucleolar RNA of Ipomoea nil (Japanese morning glory), 79 nucleotides long. It matches the Rfam family "Small nucleolar RNA U61". The record is from Rfam. Lineage: Eukaryota; Viridiplantae; Streptophyta; Magnoliopsida; Solanales; Convolvulaceae.
GUGCUGGGAUGAAAAUAACUUUGUGCCGGAGACAUUUUGUCUUUGACGGUUACACAACCCUCUAAGAAGUUCUGAGCAC